Oncorhynchus keta (chum salmon) is the source of this 160-nucleotide long non-coding RNA. RefSeq lists it as uncharacterized. The transcript is spliced from 4 exons. The record is from RefSeq and is a predicted model, not a curated record. NCBI's taxonomy places the organism in Eukaryota, Metazoa, Chordata, Actinopteri, Salmoniformes, Salmonidae.
GGUAGCCUAGCGGUUAAGAGCAGGUAGCCUAGCGGUUCAGAGCAGGUAGCCUAGCGGUUCAGAGCAGGUAGCCUAGCGGUUCAGAGCAGGUAGCCUAGCGGUUCAGAGCAGGUAGCCUAGCGGUUCAGAGCAGGUAGCCUAGCGGUUCAGAGCAGGUAGC